Molecule: long non-coding RNA, 549 nt
Organism: Centruroides sculpturatus (bark scorpion)
Lineage: Eukaryota; Metazoa; Arthropoda; Arachnida; Scorpiones; Buthidae
Exons: 2
Source: RefSeq, a predicted model, not a curated record
UGAUACCAAAAUGCUUAGUUUUAUUAGAAAAUUGUGUAAAUUUUCAGUAAAAACAUUGUCUAAAUUGUGUCAACAACUUAAAAUUUAAAAUAUUUAGAAGUAAUGGAGUAUUGAUAAACCCUGGUUUAUUAUAUUUUUAGUAUAUUUGGACGCCUUAGACAGUGGAGAAGGUCACUGGCUCAUUAGAAUAGACGAAGAAGAGAAGGAUAUAGACACUAGUGGAGAUGAAGAAAUCACCGAAUUUAAACUAUUGCCAACCCCUCCACUAAAGAGGAAAGAUAAAAAUAAGAAAAAGAAAGAGGUGUGCUGUAAAUUGGGUCGCUUAGCAGGUGAUAAAGGGUACAUAUGUUUCGCUGAUUUGUACUUGGCCAGGAUAAUUGAGAGGAACAGAAAUAGGGCACAGAGUAAAAUGAGGCUCUCUACUAACGAAAACAUCAAGAAAUCUAAAGAAAAAGUCAUGAGAGCCUUCAGUAGGUGCGUUAAAGGAAUGAAAGGUGUAUUUAACAAGUGCUGUUAUGAAACAUCUAUGAAGUUAGAUGAGAAAAUGAA